Equus caballus (horse) is the source of this 413-nucleotide non-coding RNA. The record is from RefSeq and is a predicted model, not a curated record. Lineage: Eukaryota; Metazoa; Chordata; Mammalia; Perissodactyla; Equidae.
GCGAACGAGGGGACGCGCUGGAACCACGGCCGCGACUGCUGCACUGUCUACCCGGGUCGCCAGGAAACGAAACUGAGCGACCGGAGGGCAGGCUGUGUUUUUCCCCCUCUGGCCUGGAUGCAGGAAAAGUGGGUGUACAGGAGGUGAACUCUAAUGGAAUAUGACUUAAGAAAAUGCCAUGUGAAGACAAACACACAUCAGGAGAGAACACCAUGUGACAAUGGAGGCAGAGAUUGAAGUGCUGUACCUGCAAGCCAGGAAACACCAAAGACUGCUGGCCAAGCAUCAUAAUCCAGGAAGACGCAAGAACGAAGUCCCUCCUACAGGUUCCAGAGGGAACAUGACCCUUCUGACACCUUAUUUCAGACUUUUAGCCUCUAGAACUGUGAGAGAAUAAAUGUUUUUUUAUGUCA